GCGGGCGUAGUUCAGUGGUAGAACGCCUGCUUCCCAAGCAGGAGGUCGCGGGUUCAAGUCCCGUCGCCCGCU
RNAcentral lists this transfer RNA (72 nucleotides) under Hydrogenivirga caldilitoris. It matches the Rfam family "tRNA". Rfam says of the family: Transfer RNA (tRNA) molecules are approximately 80 nucleotides in length. Their secondary structure includes four short double-helical elements and three loops (D, anti-codon, and T loops). Lineage: Bacteria; Pseudomonadati; Aquificota; Aquificia; Aquificales; Aquificaceae. RNAcentral also lists the same sequence under 1 other name. The record is from Rfam by way of RNAcentral.